GCUGAGGGGGGCCGUCGCGCACAGCCCGUACCCCCCGCCCGCGGGUGGCAAGCGGCGGCGCUGCGGGAGGCGGCCUGGCGCCUUGCCCCGUUGCAGCACGGGCUGUGCCACCGGGCGGGCCGGUGCCGCCUCCGUCCGGUCGCGGUGUCCCGUGCUCCGUGGGGCGCCAUUCCCAAGCCCGCCCGCGUGCGCACCGGAGAGCGGCGGUGGCUGCGGCUGCCGGCUCGUGUGGCGCGGCGGCGCCGGCUGAGCAGGGCCCGGGGGUACCGGCGCUAUCCGAUGCUUCACAGAUGAGCUAGAGCGGAACCAUCUGGAAAUUGUUUUAAUUUCUGUAACGAAAGCUCUAUUUAAAGAUGUGUGGGAUUCCUCAGAACAACGUUAACUGUGAAGAAGAACAGGACAGGGAAAGAAAACAGAUGCUUCCAGAGCAACAGGCAGAGCAGAAAGAUAGUGGUAAAUAUUCUAUUGUUUUUUUCUUUUCAGCUGCAGCGUUUUAAGUUCUUUGUAGUUAACUGAAGAAACAGAAAAGAAAUAAAGAACUUCACAGAAGUUAAUCAAGUCAAACAAAAGAGGGAGCUCUCUUCCUACGCCUGCCCAGCUUUUCCCUACCAUUACUUUACAAAGGCGCUGAUUCAGCAGAAUAAUUCCUGUGUAGGGAUAUACUUAAAUGUUUUCCUAAAUAACGAGCCUUGUUGGGGGGUGGGGAGUGUAAGAGAAGCAAGUAAUGCCCUUACUUUAGUUAUUGCUGAUUGGCAGUGUCUUUACAUGACAAAUUCAUGCUGAUGUGGGUUUUUUACAAGACUGGAAGAUAAAGAAAAGUCAAUGAAAAUGUAAAAAUGUUGUCUGAAGCACACUGGUUAAUUAUAGAAAAAAACACCAACACAACAGCAAUGUUGUGUGAAUAUAUGCCAUUUAUUCAGCAGGAUAAUUAAUCAAGAGGAAUAAAGCAAAAUACAUAUUAAAAACAUUUGUAAAGUAAAAUACAGUGAAGUAUGUUCUAAAACCAUUGAGCAGUUUGAUAGAACUGACCGAGAUGGUCCUGAAGCUGUUUGACAGCUUUGUGUCAAGAUCCACAAACCAAAUUCUAUUACUUUUAAAAUUUUUUGUGCACACAUUCUGUGCAUAACUCUUGCCAAAUUAUGUAUUACAUGUAUGUAUUAUGUAUGGGCUGAUGUUUUCCUAUAGUGGGACCAUUACUGCUGUCUAAAUUUAAUGUGUAGCUUACACAGGUCCUUUGGGCUGUGCUUUCAGAUUAUCACGUGGGCAGAACUUCCCAAUAAGGGUUUGUGAAAGCAGCUUAAUGGUUCCAGUUUUGUUGAUGGCCCCUUGUUGUUGCCCAGUUCUGGACAGUUAAGGCAGUAGGGAAACUCCCCCUGACUGCACACUGCAGGAUCAGACCCUGAAUGUUCUUUGUUGACAUUAGUGUUUCACGCUACUGUAUAUUGGUGCAGGAAGCUUGACCUAAUUUUUUAUGACUGAGAGUAUUAAUUUUUAACUUUAGGUUUGUAACGGUUUUGUAGAGUUAAGUCUACAUGUAUAAUACAUAAAAAUAAAAAAUCUAUAUAUUUAUAUUGUUAUAUAACGUGUGUGUGUGUACAUAUAUAUUUAAAAAUAAUAUCUAUAUAUAGGCACAUGGUAAAACCCUACUUGAUAUCAAGAGUUUGUUGGAUACCAUAAAUACAU
This is a long non-coding RNA of Falco peregrinus (peregrine falcon), 1683 nucleotides long. RefSeq lists it as uncharacterized. NCBI's taxonomy places the organism in Eukaryota, Metazoa, Chordata, Aves, Falconiformes, Falconidae. The transcript has 2 exons. The record is from RefSeq and is a predicted model, not a curated record.